Pseudopipra pipra is the source of this 1095-nucleotide long non-coding RNA. RefSeq lists it as uncharacterized. Lineage: Eukaryota; Metazoa; Chordata; Aves; Passeriformes; Pipridae. The transcript is spliced from 2 exons. The record is from RefSeq and is a predicted model, not a curated record.
AAGAAAAGUGGUAGACCCCAAGGGGUGGAAACCCCUAGAAGUUUUGAAGUUCUGCCCAAUGGGCGCUCCUGCAAAAAUGUAAACAUAUCACAACCAGACCGGAAGAGAUGAGUUGUAGUUUUUUGUUGUUGAGGAGAGGUGGCCAUGUUGUGAGCCACGAGGAAGGGACUAUAAGCCCCUUGGGCCCUCUGGCCCCCUCCCAGCCCCUGGCUGGGGGGCUGCAGGGACCUGGAACAGCAUAAAGCUGGGCUAGGUGCCUGUAUUAUGCCGGGAGAUGUUUUCUCCAUGGGCACAGAGCAGCAGCCAGCACUGACCAGAGAAACGGUGGCAGAGAGCCAGAGAUAAGGACCUGAACCGGAGGAGCAGCAGAAGCAACAUGCAGCACUGCAGAGAAGACUCCUGGAAAGAGAGAGAGAGACAGAGCCAGCAGCAGAGAGACAGAGUUUGGGGUAAGACUGUACCAGCCCCCCAAAACUCCUUUGAGAUCCCUCUGAGAAAAGAGGGAGAUGGACUCCUAUUAAGAAGAAGAGUUUUAGACAUGCAGCACCGGAGAGAGAGAGGAGCUAAGAAGCUCAGAGAGUCCCGGAGCUGGACCGGGACGGCCAGAUGGAAUGUGGGGGGAGUUGACCUUGGCUUCCCCCCCCCUCGCACUGCUGCCACGGUGGCAGCCUGAGAGACAGGGCACAGAGGCCCUGCAAGAGAUACCAGACCGUCACGAAGACCCCCCUGUGUCUUCGUGAUAUGACGUGGUGAAACGACCUUGUCUGGGGUUACGAAGCCCACGGAAGACCCCUUUGCCUGUGUCAAGGGGGCCGAGGGAGUUUUGGAUACCUCCCUCGUGAGUGCUGGCAGAAAGCCAACUAUCAGCUGCUGCAUGUGGAGAAGACAGACAGAACCUGCUGCCUUAGAAGAUGCUGCUGCUUAAGGACUGGAAGGGAUCUGUCCUUCUUUCCCUCCUGGACUUUUAUUUGGAGGGGAGAAGAGAUCUGAUCCAUUGUAAAUACUAUAUGUCAUGGUAGAGAUAGUUGUGAUCGUGUGUAUAAUGUGAUAUGGUAUUUAUUUGUACAGUCAUUGUAAUAUAUUCCCUUUCCCCCA